GACCUGAGAGGGUGAUCGGCCACACUGGAACUGAGACACGGUCCAGACUCCUACGGGAGGCAGCAGUAGGGAAUCUUCCGCAAUGGGCGAAAGCCUGACGGAGCAACGCCGCGUGAGUGAUGAAGGUCUUCGGAUCGUAAAACUCUGUUAUCAGGGAAGAACAAAUGUGUAAGUAACUGUGCACAUCUUGACGGUACCUGAUCAGAAAGCCACGGCUAACUACGUGCCAGCAGCCGCGGUAAUACGUAGCUGGCAAGCGUUAUCCGGAAUUAUUGGGCGUAAAGCGCGCGUAGGCGGUUUUUUAAGUCUGAUGUGAAAGCCCACGGCUCAACCGUGGAGGGUCAUUGGAAACUG
Molecule: ribosomal RNA, 354 nt
Filed under: bacterium LimC-100-J-132
Lineage: Bacteria
Also listed under: 1 other name
Description: bacterial SSU rRNA
Rfam family: Bacterial small subunit ribosomal RNA
Source: RNAcentral